AGGACAAAGGUACAGGGAAUAGGACAAAGGUACAGGGAAUAGGACAAAGGUUCAGGGAAUAGGAUAAAGGUACAGGGAUAGGACAAAGGUACAGGGAUAGGACAAAGGUUCAGGGAAUAGGACAAAGGUACAGGGAUAGGACAAAGGUACAGGGAUAGGACAAAGGUUCAGGGAAUAGGACAAAGGUACAGGGAUAGGACAAAGGUACAGGGAAUAGGACAAAGGUACUGGGAUAGGACAAAGGUACAGGGAUAGGACAAAGGUACAGGGAAUAGGACAAAGGUACAGGGAAUAGGACAAAGGUACAGGGAUAGGACAAAGGUACAGGGAUAGGACAAAGGUACAGGGAUAGGACAAAGGUACUGGGAUAGGACAAAGGUACAGGGAUAGGACAAAGGUACAGGGAUAGGUACAGGGAUAGGACAAAGGUACAGGGAUAGGACAAAGGUACAGGGAUAAGAAAAAGGUACAGGGAUAGGACAAAGGUACAGGGACAAAGGUACAGGGAUAGGACAAAGGUACAGGGAUGGGACAAAGGAUAGGACAAAGGUUAGGACAAAGGUACUGGGAAUAGGACAAAGGUACAGGGAUA
Oncorhynchus keta (chum salmon) is the source of this 592-nucleotide long non-coding RNA. RefSeq lists it as uncharacterized. The record is from RefSeq and is a predicted model, not a curated record. The transcript is spliced from 4 exons. Lineage: Eukaryota; Metazoa; Chordata; Actinopteri; Salmoniformes; Salmonidae.